This 328-nucleotide small nuclear RNA is filed under the name Heterocephalus glaber (naked mole-rat). RNAcentral describes it as "7SK RNA". It matches the Rfam family "7SK RNA". Rfam says of the family: 7SK was discovered as an abundant small nuclear RNA in the mid-70s but a possible function has only recently been suggested. Two independent studies have found that 7SK RNA binds the CDK9/cyclin T complex (known as elongation factor P-TEFb). P-TEFb activates transcription by phosphorylating the C-terminal domain of RNA polymerase II. The record is from Rfam by way of RNAcentral. Lineage: Eukaryota; Metazoa; Chordata; Mammalia; Rodentia; Bathyergidae.
AAAUGUGAGAGCAAUCUGUCUGUGAAAUGUGUCACCCCACUGACUGCCAGAGUCAAAUAGGCUGACCAAGCUGGCUGGGCAGGUGUCCUCCUCCUCUCUAACUAUCCAUGUACUCCACUCCUAAAUUUAUGUACUCAGUUGAAGAGAACAACUUUCAGACUUUUCAACAGAGGAGGACUGUUUGGGGGCCAAAAGUAUGGGAAUAGCUGUGCUGUCCUGCUACAACUUUCAAACAAGCUCUCAAGAUCCAUUUGUUGAAGAAGGUAGCCAAGUUUCCAAGACAACAGAAACAUCCAAAUGAGGUGCUGCAUGUGGCAAUCUGCCUUUU